AUACGGAGGAUGCAAGCGUUAUCCGGAUUUAUUGGGUUUAAAGGGUGCGUAGGCGGUUUGCUAAGCGGGAGGUGAAAUGCCGGCGCUCAACGUCGGAAGUGCCUCCCGAACUGGUGGACUUGAAUGACUCUGCCGUGGGAGGAAUGUGUAGUGUAGCGGUGAAAUGCUUAGAGAUUACACAGAACACCGAUUGCGAAGGCAUCUCACGAAGUGUUGAUUGGCGCUGAGGCACGAAAGCGUGGGGAUCAAACAGGAUUAGAUUCCCUGGUAGUCCACGCAGUAAACGAUGAUGGCUAACCGCUGGUUUAUUCGGAUCAGUGGCCAAGCGAAAGCGAUAAGCCAUCCACCUGGGGAGUACGACCGCAAGGUUGAAACUCAAAGGAAUUGACGGGG
RNAcentral lists this ribosomal RNA (393 nucleotides) under uncultured bacterium. Its description in RNAcentral is "partial 16S ribosomal RNA". It matches the Rfam family "Bacterial small subunit ribosomal RNA", at positions 523 to 918 of the family's 1533-position model. The record is from RNAcentral.